Molecule: long non-coding RNA, 163 nt
Organism: Papaver somniferum (opium poppy)
Lineage: Eukaryota; Viridiplantae; Streptophyta; Magnoliopsida; Ranunculales; Papaveraceae
Exons: 3
Source: RefSeq, a predicted model, not a curated record
CCGAGAUUUGAUGAAGACAAUCAACAAAGAAUCAAUCAAGGUUCAAUAUGUCCAACAGAUACAUACUCUAUAUGUAAGCAGUGCGGCAGAUAUAUACCCAGAUUUGCAAGUAGUAUAGCAGAUAUGUACUCAGAUUUGUAAGCAGUUUAGCAGAUAUGUACUC